AAUGACUUGAAUACAGUUUGACUGUUUUCAUGAAGUGCUCUGCGGGAUGUCAGAAUAUUUAAUUCAGGAUGUUAAAAACAUCCCAAAAUGUCACAAUAAUUAUAUCACAGCAGGCAAUUAAAACACUGGAAAAUGCCAACUGACUAAGUGUGUUCUCUGUUGUUUAGGAAACUAAUGAGUGAGUGACACAUAAAGCAGAAAUACAAAUUGUAACCACAAAAUCCAAUAUAGAUUAUAAUUGAUUUUAAUAUACAAUGUGUAUUAAAAUAAAGCAACCUGUCUUAAAAAAACCCAAAGAAAAACUUAUUUAAAGCUGUCGUUUGAGCUUUAGGCUCUGCAAUUCCCCAGGCAUCAGAAACUGUUUUUAUGUUUCCUUUUCAUUAUUUAGUUAAUUAGUUAUAUAUUUGUGUUAUGACACUAUAAUAUGGACUUGUUGAUGAAACCCUUACUAACUACAAUGGUUCCAUUCACUUCACUGCAAUAACGUCUGCCAAAUUCUCCACGUGUCCUUAAAUUAGUCUAAGGGCAGCGAGGGAAGAUCUGUGUGCUUGUGGGGUGGAAAAUACAACUCCCUUCACAGCAGGUCAGAGGCACUGUAAAAUCUGCAUGGACCCAGGGAAGUUACAGCACAAGUAAGGAUGCUGAUUCCUAGACAGAAAACAACAGAGGCUUGGAGUUCUUCUAGAAGAAUUCCUGCAUCUGAAUGGCAAUGGGUUAAUUGAAGCUGCAAUUCAAUAAGAGAGAUGCUUUUGAUUUAAUUUGUACAGAGAUUUAAUCCAUAAUUAUUAAACCAACAUCCUAUUCUAGCAGACGCUAUGGAAAUAAACUCGUCCUAUUCAACUUAGGGGAAAGAAGUACUUCAAGAACCAUGACUAUUUAAAAAAAAAGAAAAAGAAAAAGAAAAAGAAAAAGAAAAAAGAAAAAGAAAAAGAAAAAGAAAAAGAAAAAAGAAAAAGAAAAAGAAAAAGAAAAAGAAAAAGAAAAAGAAAAAGAAAAAGAAAAAGAAAAAGAAAAAGAAAAAGAAAAAGAAAAAGAAAAAGAAAAAGAAAAAGAAAAAGAAAAAGAAAAAGAAAAAGAAAAAGAAAGGAUUUAAUAAAGAUGACAAUAGGCAAUUAUUCUCAUUAGCUAAUGAGCCUUGAAUAACUAUUAUUACUGCAACUGAAUUGCUUAAAUAACAGAAAAAUAUAUGAAGUGCCAGGCAGAAAAAGAAACUGUAAGAGGUAGCUGAGAAAUCACUGUCACUGCUCCUAUGCAAGGCUACAGUAGGUGACAGUCUCUUUGCUCCAUUUUAAGGUUUUCUGUGGCAACCAUUACAUGGGGUCUGACAGCAGUUUAACUGGGAUAAAUCAUCGUUGCUACUGAAGGGCAUGGCUUUAGUUGUUUAUUCUUGCCCCUUCCCUUGAGCAGACAUGAACAUUCAUGGAGCUGCAAGGUCAACUGGGUCUGGCAAUGGUCUGGUUAGAAACUAAACCCCCAACUGUAGUUUUCAUGGAUAUGAGAUCCCUGUUGGGUGCACCAUGUGUUUUCCUGAGUGCUAGUGCUAGCACAAGAGAGGGGAAAGGAACUGGGAAGGGGGGAAAGGAGACUGGCUUAACUCCUUCAGCAGUAGUGAGGAUCUAAACUGAAUGAAAGUAAUUGGGGAAUCAUGACAUAAAGGGUCGUGUUACAUUCAUGAUUGCAACAGUUCAGACAGGAUGAAUUAUUGCUGCAUUGAUCUGAGCACUGGAAAUGUCAGUAUUUAGCAGUCUUUUAAAAUUACUACUCUUUUCAGUUCCUUACAAUUUCUGGGCAUGAAAUAAUCUUCAGAUUUCUGAAACAGAGCUUCAUGAACUGAAUGCCUCAAAGCCAUCUCUGGAAAAAAAGGAGCAGUUAGACUGUUUACUUUGUAGACUCUGUUGCUUGUAUUUAAAAACUUAAACAGUAUUUUGCACUUCCUCGGUUGUUUUCUUACAUGUCCAGAGUUUUGGCUGUGGUUGGGGAUCCACUUAUAGCUGAGUUUCCUUUCUGUGUCUGGCAUCAUGUGGUGGUCAGUAAUCACUCAGCCCUUACAAUGCUUGCAUUGGGUGUUAUUUUGAGGUGUAUUAUCUUGCUUCUGGCUCUAUAUUCAUGUUAUUCCUUGGGCAGGUUGUUGAAUCUGAUAUCUGGCUUGUUAUACAGCGUUUGAGCACCACUUGCUGCUAGUAGACCAUCAAAAGCAUGAUUUUUGCUACUACUUCUGGGGGAAAAAAAAGGGAAGCACCCCUAUUAUUCUGAAGGGAAAAGGUUGAAAUCUUGUCUUUCCUCAUUUUGUUGCUGUAGAAUGUGCGUAUCAUACCCACUGGAAGGGUGAUACCUAUUGUCAGAGAAGUCUGACCCAGUGCCAUGAAAGAGACCAUGGUAUCCUGGGGGUCUAAAGGCUAAGUAGUUGAGGCAUAAAAAAUUAUGUUCUUCCAUGUCUCCACGUACAGACUAAGUGAACUGUUUUAAGUGUGUCAGCUUGAAUAACACUGAGGCUCCUAAUUCUGUCACUUUUACCUGCAUAGGUUCUUUUUCUUUUUUUUUGGUUAUAAAAACCUUCAGAGGUGUUCUUUUUGAGCCAUCAAGAAAUGUCUAGGAGUAGUUUGUCUUCUGGUGAUAGUUAUCUUAGGUAAGGACAUGGGAUAUGUAUGUAUUUGUUUGAGAUAUAUAGAAAAUGCUUAGAAUAUUUAUAUAUAUAUAUAUCUCUGAAAGAAUUUUUGCUUUGCAGGAAAGCCCAGGUAGAGUGAGAUAACCACUAAGAUUACUGGCUAGUUCCAUCGUGGUAAACCUUUUUGUUCCACAAAGGUUCUCAUCUACACAUGACAACACAAAUCCAGUCUGCUGUAAACAUGCUGAGGUGUUCUGGCCUUCACAGUUUUCCCAGCCUGAGAUUUUGACAGUGUUGCUGAGACUGUAAUCUUCAAUGUCCAGAUUGGAACCCCUUCAAUAGCAUCAGAGAUACAAG
Long non-coding RNA from Pseudopipra pipra, 2962 nucleotides. RefSeq lists it as uncharacterized. The transcript has 3 exons. Lineage: Eukaryota; Metazoa; Chordata; Aves; Passeriformes; Pipridae. The record is from RefSeq and is a predicted model, not a curated record.